GACGAACGCUGGCGGCGUGCUUAACACAUGCAAGUCGAACGGAAAGGCCCUGCUUUUGUGGGGUGCUCGAGUGGCGAACGGGUGAGUAACACGUGAGUAACCUGCCCUUGACUUUGGGAUAACUUCAGGAAACUGGGGCUAAUACCGGAUAGGAGCUCCUGCUGCAUGGUGGGGGUUGGAAAGUUUCGGCGGUUGGGGAUGGACUCGGGGCUUAUCAGCUUGUUGGUGGGGUAGUGGCUUACCAAGGCUUUGACGGGUAGCCGGCCUGAGAGGGUGACCGGACAAAUUGGGACUGAGAUGCGGCCCAGACUCGUACGGGAGGCAGCAGUGGGGAAAAUUGCACAAUGGGAGGAAGCCUGAUGCAGCAACGCAGCGUGCGGGAUAACGGCAUGCGGGUUGUAAACCGCUUUCGCCUGUGACGAAGCGUGAGUGACGGUAAUGGAUAAAGAAGCACCGGCUAACUACGUG
Molecule: ribosomal RNA, 468 nt
Filed under: uncultured bacterium
Lineage: Bacteria
Description: partial 16S ribosomal RNA
Rfam family: Bacterial small subunit ribosomal RNA
Source: RNAcentral